UGGAUAAUUUCAACUACCACAUGAUGCCCUAUGAAUUAAUUGACAUACUUGAGCUCGUCUUAGGAAUAUAUUCUCAGUGAACAAAAACGAAUUCAGUAAAUGUUUACUAUAAAAACAGACAACAGACUUGCUGUCUUGAAUACAUUUGUGGCUUGUAUUGUUUAAUUCAUUUUUAAAGCAACAUUUGAUCGAUUGUUGGUUGCUUAACGUCCAGUGGCAAACAUUUCAUGCAUAUUCUAGACGAGAAGUAGUUUUAGAAAUUAUUAGGUUUAACAAAUGUUGAAAUGCUCUCAUCAUUUUUCAAAAGGAUAUUUU
Molecule: long non-coding RNA, 315 nt
Filed under: Mytilus galloprovincialis (Mediterranean mussel)
Lineage: Eukaryota; Metazoa; Mollusca; Bivalvia; Mytilida; Mytilidae
Source: RNAcentral